GACGAACGCUGGCGGCGUGCUUAACACAUGCAAGUCGAACGGAAAGGCCCUGCUUUUGUGGGGUGCUCGAGUGGCGAACGGGUGAGUAACACGUGAGUAACCUGCCCUUGACUUUGGUAUAACUUCAGGAAACUGGGGCUAAUACCGGAUAGGAUCUCCUGCUGCAUGGUGGGGGUUGGAAAGUUUCGGCGGUUGGGGAUGGACGCGCGGCUUAUCAGCUUGUUGGUGGGGUAGUGGCUUACCAAGGCUUUGACGGGUAGCCGGCAGGGGAGGGUGACCGGCGACAUGGGGACUGAGAUACGGCCCAGACUCCUACGGGAGGCAGCAGGGGGGAGUAUUGCACAAUGGGCGGAAGCCUGAUGCAGAAACGCCGCGUGCGGGAUGACGGCCUUCGGGGUGUAAACCGCUUUAGCCUGUGACGAAGCGGGAGUGACGGUAAUGGGUGAAGAAGCACCGGCUAACUACGUG
This 468-nucleotide ribosomal RNA is filed under the name uncultured bacterium. RNAcentral's name for it is "partial 16S ribosomal RNA". It matches the Rfam family "Bacterial small subunit ribosomal RNA", at positions 28 to 507 of the family's 1533-position model. The record is from RNAcentral.